Molecule: unclassified non-coding RNA, 331 nt
Filed under: soil metagenome
Description: partial contains 5.8S ribosomal RNA, internal transcribed spacer 2, and large subunit ribosomal RNA
Rfam family: 5.8S ribosomal RNA (bases 1-120)
Source: RNAcentral
GAUGAAGAACGCAGCGAAAUGCGAUAAGUAAUGUGAAUUGCAGAAUUCAGUGAAUCAUCGAAUCUUUGAACGCACAUUGCGCCCCCUGGUAUUCCGGGGGGCAUACCUGUUCGAGCGUCAUUUCACCACUCAAGCCUCGCUUGGUAUUGGGCAACGCGGUCCGCCGCGUGCCUCAAAUCGACCGGCUGGGUCUUCUGUCCCCUAAGCGUUGUGGAAACUAUUCGCUAAAGGGUGCUCGGGAGGCUACGCCGUAAAACAAACCCAUUUCUAAGGUUGACCUCGGAUCAGGUAGGGAUACCCGCUGAACUUAAGCAUAUCAAUAAGCGGAGGA